RNAcentral lists this ribosomal RNA (440 nucleotides) under uncultured bacterium. Its description in RNAcentral is "partial 16S ribosomal RNA". It matches the Rfam family "Bacterial small subunit ribosomal RNA", at positions 338 to 795 of the family's 1533-position model. The record is from RNAcentral.
CCUACGGGGGGCAGCAGUAGGGAAUUUUGCGCAAUGGGCGAAAGCCUGACGCAGCAACACCGCGUGAAUGUUAAGCCCUUCGGGGUGUAAAGUUCUGUCAAUAGGGACGAAUUUUGACUGUACCUAUAAAGGAAGCACCGGCUAACUCCGUGCCAGCAGCCGCGGUAAUACGGGGGGUGCAAGCGUUGUCCGGAAUUACUGGGUGUAAAGGGAGCGCAGGCGGGAAGCCAAGUCAGCUGUGAAAACUACGGGCUUAACUUGUAGACUGCAGUUGAAACUGGUUUUCUUGAGUGAAGUAGAGGUUGGCGGAAUUCCGAGUGUAGCGGUGAAAUGCGUAGAUAUUCGGAGGAACACCGGUGGCGAAGGCGGCCAACUGGGCUUUAACUGACGCUGAGGCUCGAAAGUGUGGGGAGCAAACAGGAUUAGAUACCCCAGUAGUC